RNAcentral lists this ribosomal RNA (270 nucleotides) under uncultured bacterium. RNAcentral describes it as "partial 16S ribosomal RNA". It matches the Rfam family "Bacterial small subunit ribosomal RNA", at positions 524 to 789 of the family's 1533-position model. The record is from RNAcentral.
UACGGAGGGUCCAAGCGUUAUCCGGAAUCAUUGGGCGUAAAGGGUGCGUAGGCGGGUCUUUUAAGUCAGGGGUGAAAUCCUGGAGCUCAACUCCAGAACUGCCUUUGAUACUGAGGAUCUUGAGUUCGGGAGAGGUGAGUGGAACUGCGAGUGUAGAGGUGAAAUUCGUAGAUAUUCGCAAGAACACCAGUGGCGAAGGCGGCUCACUGGCCCGAUACUGACGCUGAGGCACGAAAGCGUGGGGGAGCAAACAGGGAUUAAGAAACCCUU